This 235-nucleotide unclassified non-coding RNA is filed under the name Glomus sp. RNAcentral's name for it is "partial contains 5.8S ribosomal RNA and internal transcribed spacer 2". The stretch from base 1 to 65 matches the Rfam family "5.8S ribosomal RNA", at positions 84 to 154 of the family's 154-position model. The record is from RNAcentral. Lineage: Eukaryota; Fungi; Glomeromycota; Glomeromycetes; Glomerales; Glomeraceae.
GUGAAUCAUCGAAUUUUUGAACGCAAAUUGCACUCUCUUCGGAGAGUGUGCCUGUUUGAGGGUCAGCCUAAAAAAAAAUCGCCAUAGUCGCUGUUUCGCGGUGACAUUCGUCGGAAAUUGGUUCAUCUUAAACCUUUGGGUUUUAAGCGGCUUAAAAUUUUCUUUACGAUUCCACAAACGUUUCUAAUAUUUCCUUCUUAUCCUUUUAAGUAAUCGAUCUUUAUUAAACUUGCCG